CCUACGGGUGGCAGCAGUGAGGAAUAUUGGUCAAUGGGCGGAAGCCUGAACCAGCCAAGUAGCGUGCAGGAUGACGGCCCUAUGGGUUGUAAACUUCUUUUAUAUGGGAAUAAAAUGUUCCACGUGUGGGAUUUUGUAUGUACCAUAUGAAUAAGGAUCGGCUAACUCCGUGCCAGCAGCCGCGGUAAUACGGAGGAUCCGAGCGUUAUCCGGAUUUAUUGGGUUUAAAGGGAGCGUAGGUGGAUUGUUAAGUCAGUUGUGAAAGUUUGCGGCUCAACCGUAAAAUUGCAGUUGAAACUGGCAGUCUUGAGUACAGUAGAGGUGGGCGGAAUUCGUGGUGUAGCGGUGAAAUGCUUAGAUAUCACGAAGAACUCCGAUUGCGAAGGCAGCUCACUGGACUGCAACUGACACUGAGGCUCGAAAGUGUGGGUAUCAAACAGGAUUAGAUACCCCAGUAGUC
RNAcentral lists this ribosomal RNA (460 nucleotides) under uncultured bacterium. RNAcentral's name for it is "partial 16S ribosomal RNA". It matches the Rfam family "Bacterial small subunit ribosomal RNA", at positions 338 to 795 of the family's 1533-position model. The record is from RNAcentral.